Molecule: ribosomal RNA, 404 nt
Filed under: Fageicera sp. 436 FL-2019
Lineage: Eukaryota; Metazoa; Arthropoda; Arachnida; Araneae; Ochyroceratidae
Description: partial large subunit ribosomal RNA
Source: RNAcentral
CCUGCUCAAUGUAAUUUAAUAGCCGCGACUCUCGUGCUAAGGUAGCAUAAUAACUUGUUCCCUAAAUAGGAAAUUGCAUGAAAGAACAAACAUUUUCAUUCUAUAAUUUAUAUUUACAUUUAAAUUAAAUAAAAGAUUAAAAUAUCUUUAUUAUUAAGGAAGACGACAAGACCCUACGAACUUAACUUAAAAGAUUAACUGGGGAAGUAUAAUAAAGACAAUUUAUUAAUAAAAUUUCUAUCUAAGCUUUACAGAAUAAAACAAAGUUACCGUAGGGAUAACAGCGCAAUUUGUAUUAUAAGCUCUUAUAAAAAUACAAUCUUACGACCUCGAUGUUGAAUUAAUAUUACUAUAAUAAGCACAAAUAUUAUAAGAAAGUCUGUUCGACUUAUAAAUUUUUACAU